Molecule: ribosomal RNA, 1492 nt
Filed under: uncultured bacterium
Lineage: Bacteria
Description: partial 16S ribosomal RNA
Rfam family: Bacterial small subunit ribosomal RNA
Source: RNAcentral
AGAGUUUGAUCCUGGCUCAGAGUGAACGCUGGCGGCAUGCCUAACACAUGCAAGUCGAACGGUAACAGGCCCGCAAGGGUGCUGACGAGUGGCGGACGGGUGAGGAACACAUCGGAAUUUGCCCAGUCGUGGGGGAUAACGUAGGGAAACUUACGCUAAUACCGCAUACGACCGAGAGGUGAAAGCGUGGGAUCGCAAGACCUCGCGCGGCUGGAUGAGCCGAUGUCGGAUUAGCUUGUUGGCGGGGUAAAGGCCCACCAAGGCGACGAUCCGUAGCUGGUCUGAGAGGAUGAUCAGCCACAUUGGGACUGAGACACGGCCCAAACUCCUACGGGAGGCAGCAGUGGGGAAUAUUGGACAAUGGGGGCAACCCUGAUCCAGCAAUGCCGCGUGUGUGAAGAAGGCCUUCGGGUUGUAAAGCACUUUUAUCAGGAACGAAACGCGCUUGGUCAAUAGCCAGGUGAACUGACGGUACCUGAGGAAUAAGCACCGGCUAACUUCGUGCCAGCAGCCGCGGUAAUACGAAGGGUGCAAGCGUUACUCGGAAUUACUGGGCGUAAAGGGUGCGUAGGUGGUUGUUUAAGUCUGCUGUGAAAGCCCCGGGCUCAACCUGGGAAUGGCAGUGGAUACUGGGCAGCUAGAAUGCGGUAGAGGGUAGUGGAAUUCCCGGUGUAGCAGUGAAAUGCGUAGAGAUCGGGAGGAACACCAGUGGCGAAGGCGGCUACCUGGACCAGCAUUGACACUCAAGCACGAAAGCGUGGGGAGCAAACAGGAUUAGAUACCCUGGUAGUCCACGCCCUAAACGAUGCGAACUGGACGUUGGGAGCAAUUUGGCUCUCAGUGUCGAAGCUAACGCGUUAAGUUCGCCGCCUGGGGAGUACGGUCGCAAGACUGAAACUCAAAGGAAUUGACGGGGGCCCGCACAAGCGGUGGAGUAUGUGGUUUAAUUCGAUGCAACGCGAAGAACCUUACCUGGUCUUGACAUGUCGCGAAUCGUGCAGAGAUGCGCGAGUGCCUUCGGGAAUGCGAACACAGGUGCUGCAUGGCUGUCGUCAGCUCGUGUCGUGAGAUGUUGGGUUAAGUCCCGCAACGAGCGCAACCCUUGUCAUUAGUUGCUACGAAAGGGCACUCUAAUGAGACUGCCGGUGACAAACCGGAGGAAGGUGGGGAUGACGUCAAGUCCUCAUGGCCCUUAUGGGUAGGGCUUCACACGUCAUACAAUGGUACAUACAGAGGGCCGCCAACCCGCGAGGGGGAGCUAAUCCCAGAAAGUGUAUCGUAGUCCGGAUUGUAGUCUGCAACUCGACUACAUGAAGUUGGAAUCGCUAGUAAUCGCGGAUCAGCAUGUCGCGGUGAAUACGUUCCCGGGUCUUGUACACGCCGCCCGUCACACCAUGGGAGUGGGUUGCUCCAGAAGGCGUUAGUCUAACCGCAAGGAGGACGACGCCCACGGAGUGGUCCAUGACUGGGGUGAAGUCGUAACAAGGUAACC